CCUGCCUUUUAGAUUGGGAUACCCGAAGGAAACUUUGGCUAAUACCGGAUAAUACAAACCGAGGCAUCUCGGAUGUUUGAAAGGGGCCUUUAAAGCCCCACUAAAAGAUGGACCUGCGGCGCAUUAGCUAGUUGGUGAGAUAACAGCCCACCAAGGCGAGGAUGCGUAGCCGAACUGAGAGGUUGAUCGGCCACAUUGGAACUGAGACACGGUCCAAACUCCUACGGGAGGCAGCAGUAAGGAGUUUUCGGCAAUGGGGGAAACCCUGACCGAGCAACGCCGCGUGAGUGAUGACGGCCCUAUGGGUUGUAAAGCUCUGUUAUAAGGGACGAACAGCUUUGCGAGGAAAUGCGCAGAGUCUGACGGUACUUUAUCAGAAAGCCACGGCUAACUACGUGCCAGCAGCCGCGGUAAUACGUAGGUGGCAAGCGUUAUCCGGAAUUAUUGGGCGUAAAGAGUGAGCAGGCGGCAGGUUAAGUUUGAGGUUAAAGCGUGGGGCUCAACCCCAUAAAGCCUUGAAAACUGAUCAGCUAGAGUACGAGAGAUGUGAAGGGAACUCCAUGUGUAGCGGUGAAAUGCGUAGAUAUAUGGAAGAACACCAGUGGCGAAGGCGGCUCACUGGCCUGUUACUGACGCUGAGGCUCGAAAGCGUGGGGAGCAAAUAGGAUUAGAUACCCUAGUAGUCCACGCCGUAAACGAUGGAUACUA
This 708-nucleotide ribosomal RNA is filed under the name uncultured bacterium. RNAcentral describes it as "bacterial SSU rRNA". It matches the Rfam family "Bacterial small subunit ribosomal RNA", at positions 125 to 818 of the family's 1533-position model. The record is from RNAcentral.